GGUAACCGGUUUGGGUCCUUUUUCGCAAUGUGGAGUCUUCGUCCUUUUGCUCUUCCCAAAAAACCUUGCUGCCUCUUACUUUUUGGGUCUGUGCCAUCUUUAAGAGCUGUAACACUCACCGUGAAGGUCCGUGGCUUCAUUGAUGAAGUCAGUGAGAAUCAUGAAGUCAGCCAGAGUACUGCCCUGGAGGGAAUCGACUGCCAGUUUAAGGAGUCAUUGUCCAGUUCAGACUCCAGAAUACGAAACGUAGAAACUGACAGGAAAUGACCAAGUAUAAAUUGCAACUUGUAAAGAAUCAUCUUAAAUCCUGGCACUGCGUUCAAGGGGGAGUUUGAGCAAGGAAUGUUGCUAAAACGGCUAAAACCAGGAACUCAGAAUAUCGUUCUACAAUAGAACCUAAAAACUGUUUCCAACCCAUCACGACAUCACCCUGAAAAAUGAGUGAGCAGUCACUGAGGCUUCCCAAGUUUGAAAAUUCCACAAGACUGAGAGCAAAUGUUUUGUUGAAACUGAAGUCAAGAUGAAGUCAGCUGACUCUCAAACCUCAGGUGAAGUGACUCAGGGCCCACACCCCGGUUCUGAGGCAGGGACACAUUUUACUUGCAGCACCCUGCAGCUUUGGAUGAGGCUGCAACCCGGGUGAAUCCUGGCCCUGCUAUCACGUGGGCAGCCACUGCAUCCUCCGGAGGCUGUGGAUGGGAGUCACCAUGCUGGGAGGUCUGGAGUAAGAUCUGUGCCAUCUGCCUUGCCCAAUCCUGUACCAGUGCCUGUGUUUCAAAAUCUCAAAAUAAAAGUGAUUAUUCUUGCAACACAUCUAGGUGUACUAAACGAAUACAAAAAAGCCUUCGAUUAUUGCUGCACACAUCAUUACAAGAUGAAAUAGGAGGGAAAAAUAAGCUUUAAAAAUACAUUUAAGGCACUGAAUAUUUGUUCUGAAUUGAAUAGAAUAUUUUAUUAUAAAACGGGCCUCUGUGCAUUUUCUAAAGCCACAGUCUUACUCAUCUAUGGGAGAAGUAAGAACACUGGGCAUGAAUGCAACUGUCUUUAUAAAAUUUAUUUUCAAAUUCCUUCAACAACGGGAGGAUAGGAAAAACCUGGAAGCAGACAGCAGGUAGACUGUUUCUGUGUUGUAACAGUGGUCUUCAUGAUCAUUUUACCAGGGGCAGAUGUGUAUCUGUCCUCUCCGUUUCACUAGUGCAGGCUGGCUUUACUUUGGUCCAUCAACAUACUUUUGUCAUUCUACUACAUGCAGGACACUGAGGAAAACAGGAAUUGCACAGGGCCUCAUUCAGAGAGUAGAAGAGACGGACAAGCAAAUGUUGAAACUCAAAAUUCGAAGAGCAAUAUGAGGAGUAUCAAUUGCUAGGAGAAACAUCUGCUCCAACACACAUACACGUGCCUUUCUGCAGUCUCCACGGGGAGGAACUUCCAUUAGACUAACACUCCCUCCUUUCUCCACCCCUCUUCCUCCCCUGGAGAGAAGGAGUCACACUUGUCCCACAGGAGCAAGCACCUGGCCUGUUCCUGCCCUCUCCUGCCUGGACUCACCUCUUGCACAGAGCUCAAGCCCUGCCUGGUCCCCAAGCUGGAACAAGGCUCUGCUCUGGUUUUGGCUACACUGGGAAGGAGCGGGGUAUGUGUAAUUUGGGGUAAAAUAUUAACAAACCUACUUAUCCACAGAGCUAUAUUACAUCUUCUACUCUGACAUUUUUUGUUUUUUCUUUUUUGUUUUUUUUCUCUCUCAAUUGAUCCAAACACAGGCGAGGAAGAGAAGUAUAUUUAUUGACUCCCUAAAUUUUCAAUACCUGGUGCACAGACUGGGAACCUUAAGAAAUAGACGGGACUGGCACUUGGAGAAUGAAAUAACAUGUAGAGGAAGGAGACAGCAACCACGAAGGCAGGCAGCUCUCUGGCUUAAGCCAUGGUGACUAUCGAUCACGUGGGAUUCUGACUUUUGCAGGUCUCUGUAGCUCCUGGUAUUUCAUAACAGGCUGGAAUUCAGCAAAUGCUGGCCAUUUGGGGUAUUAACAAGCAGGAGGACAAAUCGGAGUCUUAGAAAGCAGGCUGGCUGCUCGGGAGUGUUGGCACAGGCCUUAGCAAGACAGGUCAGCUGAAGUAAGGGUGUGGUUCACUGCCUGUGCUGUUUCUCAACCACGCUGAAAGGGUGGGAGACUGGGACACAGGGACUUUACACUGCACACAUUUGAGCCCUUGUGUGCCACAGAGCUCUAGGUGAUGUUUGCCUUUAACUUAUUUUCGACAAAUGUGCUUCCCAAAUCCCAUUACCUGAAUUCAAGACCAAACAAGGACUCUGAGAGGGACUGGGCCCUUAUUACUGUGCUGCUCAACCAAUGAAUAUUAAAAGUCACGUCCAUGAACCAUGAGAUCUCAAUUGCACAGCUUUGAUGAGUUCUAUUAUAUUCUGACUUUACGCUUCAGACAUGUGAACUGUGAUUUCACAAGAUUAGUAUAUUUUAUUAAUAACGACAGACAAAAAGAAUUGCCUUGUUCACUGGUAUAUUCCAAGUGUGUAGAAAAGUGUCUUAUCUUCAGUAGGUACUCUCAUUUAACAAAUGCCUGAUCAGGGCAUUUAUUUUUUUAAAAAAAAGGCCACAAUCUUCAGUUAAAGUAAAGAAACAACUCAGUAAAAUGACUGCAAGUCCAAAAGCUAAGAAUGCAUUUUUUUGUUGUUGUUGUUUUGAUCUUUUUUGGAGAUGGAGUUUAGCACUUGUUGCCCAGGGUGGAGUACAAUGGCAGGAUCUCGGCUCACCACAACCUCUGCCUCCCGGAUUCAAGUGAUUCUUCUGCCUCAGCCUCCCGAGUACCUGGGAUUACAGGCAUGCACCACCACGCCCAGCUAUUUUUUUUUUUUAAGUAGAGACAGGGUUUCACCAUGUUGGUCAGGCUGGUCUUGAACUCCUGACCUCAGGUGAUCCACCCGCCUUGGCCUCCCAAAGUGCUGGGAUUACAGGCGUGAGCCACCGCACCUGGCCAAGAAUGCAUUUUUAAAGGUCUGUGCCUAGAAUACUCUGUAUCUAGGAAUUCAAUUUGCUUGGACAAUCAAAGAGAAACUAGUUUGGCUUGAAAAGCAGGCUUCAAUCUUAUUAUCAGAUUGGGAGUGUUUCUUUUUGUAAUGAAAUCAAAAUAAAGGAAGACAAGAGAGGUACCUUUAAAAGAGAUGAGAGAUUUCAGAAGCUGAUUAGAGACUAAAGAAAUAUGAAGUGGAAAUGACAUCUUAAUGGCAGCUCACAAACGGAAAAAAAGACAUACUUGGGGUUCAUUGUUUGAAAAGAGGUUAUUGGAAGAGAGGGCAGGAUUUUAGUUGUUACAGUUCAAAAGGAUAAAUGGGGCCCAAAAACAUUCAAUGAACAAGAUGAGACAGGCUCUCAGUAAGCAUCCUGGAUGGUUUCCCCAGUAGAGCCAGGGUCCCAGAAACUCCUGGGAAUGCCAUCUUAAAACCAUAGAUGAGCUAGGAGUCUGCAGGGGGCUCCACCCCCUGAAAACAGUGUAAAAGGGCUUCACACUUCAUGUUCCAGAAGGAUCCAGAUAACCUGUAACCUGAAAAUUAUUUCGCUAUAAGUACCUACAGAUGGUAAGUUUAAAAGUAACUAAAAAAGCCGUUAUAUGACAGGUGAGCUUGCAAGAAAGAAAGAGAAAAUUCAAAAAACAAACAUAAGAGACAAAUGAAAUUGCAUGUGCCGAUUCAUGUGUGCCCUGAGAGGUUGCCAGAAGGGGAUGUCAGGUUGGUGGCCCCUCGGCUGGGGUUUCCAUACUCACACAUAGCAAUAGGCAAUAAGGCCAUGGUCCUAUUCUCGGUGGGGAGUCCAAACCAAAAUGGCUCCAGAGAGCCAGAUCCCUCAAAGGACAGCAGCUUCAGGAUUCUCUCACUGAGACUGGGGUUCUCGCCUGCCUAGGCCGGG
This 3920-nucleotide long non-coding RNA is filed under the name Homo sapiens (human). RNAcentral describes it as "HSALNT0372094". The record is from RNAcentral. Lineage: Eukaryota; Metazoa; Chordata; Mammalia; Primates; Hominidae.